UUGAUUAUUUAAAAAUGGAUAAAUUUAAAAAAAAACAAGCAUGUAAUAUAUCAACUUCUACCUAAUACAAUAAAAUUGUCUUUUAUACAGAUAUAAUUAAAUGCGUGAAAUAAAUACUUCACUGCUAAUUUUAAAUGCUAUUAACUAUUUUUUAUAAUAAAAACCAAAAUCCCACUAUUUUGCUAAUACCACAACUCUCCUCAAAAGUCAAAACACUUUCAGUGUGGUAAUAGCAAAAGAUGGAGUUCCCAUUUUCCCACUUUCCAUAAAAACCUAAAAAAAUUAUAACAAAUUUACGAUUAUACCCCUGAAAGCCACCGGAAAAGUUCACUGAUCUCUUCACCGAUUCUCCCAUGACCUCCGUCAAAAUCGCUAACCGCCUCACUCCGGCGACUACUUCCGGUAAAGAACCUUCCAGAACCACGUAACGAAACCGAAACACGAUCCACGUAAUCACGCAACCAAUUAAACCGUCCACUACCACCGGCAGCAACCUCCGCGGCCAAACUCUCUCCCGGCGCUUCCGCCGUUGAAUCCUUAUCGCCGGAAGUACAAUCGGAAACAACACUCCGGUGCGUCGACUCCACCGGAAUCUCGUAACCGUCGUCCAGCACGUAAUCAUACGAACCGACGGAGUAUGACCUCCGGUCAGAAUUCGCCGGAUCUCGCCGUUGACUAAUAGUCCCGAUCUCGAUUCGGAAACUGUUACUCCUGUUUCCACCAGCUCUACGACUACCGCCGUUGCCGGAAGUCAACGUAUUCAUAAUAUCUUCUUCGUUAGGGUUUACAGUAGACCGGCAGAGCGGACACGUCAUGUUAGACUUAAGCCACGCGUCAAUACACUGCGCGUGAAACGCGUGACAACAUAACGGAAGAAGCCGGAGCUGAUCUGAACUUUCAAACUUCGAUAAACAAACGGCACAGUCGCCUCCGGCGAUUUUUCCGGUGAGUGAAGAGAAGGUGAAAAGCGGUAAGGAGUCGAGUGCAUUGUUAGUUAUGGAGAUCACAUGAUGACGCACGUGUUCGGUUUCGUUACUUUCGUUACUAUCGUUUCUGUUAUUGGAAACGACGUCGUCGGCUGGUGAAAAUGUACUGAAUGAACGGUUGCAGCGGCGUGUGAGGAAGCGGAUGAGGAGGUAAAUAGUGGCGGAGAUAAUAAUGGCGGAAGAUAUAAUAAUCAUUACGAUUAUUAUUGAAGGUGUUGGAGGUGAUGAGUGGUGGUGGUGUGAUACUGUGUCGUUGUAGUAAAGUUGAGGAAUGGGGGUGUAUGAGGUGGGGGUGGGGGUGGUUAUGACGGAGAAUGGUGGUGGUGGAGAGGUGGAGGUGGUAGGGUGUCCAUUUUGGGAAGGAGGGUGGUGGUGGUGAAGGUGGUUAGGAAUAUAUGGUGAGUUAAUGAAGGGUGUGGUACAGAUGGGGAAUUGAUUUGAAGAUGAUGUGGUAAUUAAUGUGUUUUCUGGAUUUGGUGAUGUUUCAGGGUUUCAGCUCUUGAGUUGCAUGUGAUAUGCACGUGACAACAGUUGGGUCGGGUCGGGUCGGGUUUUGUGGUUUUGGAAUUAUGGCAGCAUUUACUUCCUACUAAACUACCACACUUUUGGGUUUGUUAUGUUGCAGUUGUAUUCAUGUUGUUUUGACAUAUAUGGAUUCACAUGUGUUUUACAUUUAGUAUUUUUACGUUACAAUUUACGUACAAAUGUGUAAGUUUCUACUACCAAGUAUUAUAUAUAUAUCACCUUUGUUUGUUAUUGAGGUUUAUAUGUGACUUUGUGGAAUAAAUCUUUGUCUAAUAAGUAUGUUGUUCUUAACAUUUGUAAUUUUGAACUUUAGUAGUAAACACGAUAUGUAUCUUGUC
This 1849-nucleotide long non-coding RNA is filed under the name Helianthus annuus (common sunflower). RNAcentral describes it as "hypothetical non coding rna". Lineage: Eukaryota; Viridiplantae; Streptophyta; Magnoliopsida; Asterales; Asteraceae. The record is from RNAcentral.